CCUAUACUUCCUCCGCCCCGAAUUACUUGGCAUAGAAAUGAAUAACAAUGAAUGUAUCUAGAACUAAAAAUACAUCUAGAUACAUCCAUUUUUGCGACAAAUAAUUCAGGAUGGAGGGAGUAAUAC
Triticum aestivum (bread wheat) is the source of this 126-nucleotide non-coding RNA. NCBI's taxonomy places the organism in Eukaryota, Viridiplantae, Streptophyta, Magnoliopsida, Poales, Poaceae. The record is from Rfam.